RNAcentral lists this ribosomal RNA (460 nucleotides) under uncultured bacterium. RNAcentral's name for it is "partial 16S ribosomal RNA". It matches the Rfam family "Bacterial small subunit ribosomal RNA", at positions 338 to 795 of the family's 1533-position model. The record is from RNAcentral.
CCUACGGGUGGCAGCAGUGAGGAAUAUUGGUCAAUGGACGAGAGUCUGAACCAGCCAAGUAGCGUGAAGGAUGACUGCCCUCUGGGUUGUAAACUUCUUUUAUCUGGGAAUAAAAUGUUCCACGUGUGGGAUUUUGUAUGUACCAUAUUAAUAAGGAUCGGCUAACUCCGUGCCAGCAGCCGCGGUAAUACGGAGGAUCCGAGCGUUAUCCGGAUUUAUUGGGUUUAAAGGGAGCGUAGGUGGAUUGUUAAGUCAGUUGUGAAAGUUUGCGGCUCAACCGGAAAAGUGCAGUUGAAACUGGCAGUCUUGAGUACAGUAGAGGUGGGCGGAAUUCGUGGUGUAGCGGUGAAAUGCUUAGAUAUCACGAAGAACCCCGAUUGCGAAGGCAGCUUACUGGACUGCAACUGACACUGAGGCUCGAAAGUGUGGGUAUCAAACAGGAUUAGAUACCCUUGUAGUC